This 459-nucleotide ribosomal RNA is filed under the name uncultured bacterium. RNAcentral's name for it is "bacterial SSU rRNA". It matches the Rfam family "Bacterial small subunit ribosomal RNA", at positions 29 to 506 of the family's 1533-position model. The record is from RNAcentral.
AUGAACGCUGGCGGCGUGCCUAAUACAUGCAAGUCGAACGGGGAUUGUAGCAAUACACUCCCAGUGGCGAACGGGUGAGUAACGCGUUGGUGACCUGCCCCGAAGAGAGGGAUAACAGUCCGAAAGGAUUGCUAAUACCCCAUGUGAUCAUCGGUUUUAGAAUCCGGUGAUUAAACGGAGUAAUCCGCUUUGGGAGGGGCCUGCGUCCCAUCAGCUAGUUGGUAAGGUAACGGCUUACCAAGGCGAUGACGGGUAGGGGACCUGAGAGGGUGGCCCCCCACAAUGGAACUGAAACACGGUCCAUACACCUACGGGUGGCAGCAGUAGGGAAUAUUGCUUAAUGGGCGAAAGCCUGAAGCAGCAACGCCGCGUGCGCGAUGAAGGCCUUCGGGUUGUAAAGCGCUUUUUGAGGGGAUGAGGAAGGACAGUACCUUCAGAAUAAGCCUCGGCUAACUACGU